GAUGAACGCUGGCGGCGUGCCUAACACAUGCAAGUCGAGCGAUUCUCUUCGGAGAAGAGCGGCGGACGGGUGAGUAACGCGUGGGUAACCUGCCCUGUACACACGGAUAACAUACCGAAAGGUAUGCUAAUACGAGAUAAUAUACUUUUAUCGCAUGGUAGAAGUAUCAAAGCUUUUGCGGUACAGGAUGGACCCGCGUCUGAUUAGCUAGUUGGUAAGGUAACGGCUUACCAAGGCGACGAUCAGUAGCCGACCUGAGAGGGUGAUCGGCCACAUUGGAACUGAGACACGGUCCAAACUCCUACGGGAGGCAGCAGUGGGGAAUAUUGCACAAUGGGCGAAAGCCUGAUGCAGCAACGCCGCGUGAGCGAUGAAGGCCUUCGGGUCGUAAAGCUCUGUCCUCAAGGAAGAUAAUGACGGUACUUGAGGAGGAAGCCCCGGCUAACUACGUGCCAGCAGCCGCCGUAA
RNAcentral lists this ribosomal RNA (468 nucleotides) under uncultured bacterium. RNAcentral describes it as "partial 16S ribosomal RNA". It matches the Rfam family "Bacterial small subunit ribosomal RNA", at positions 28 to 523 of the family's 1533-position model. The record is from RNAcentral.